This 292-nucleotide ribosomal RNA is filed under the name uncultured bacterium. RNAcentral's name for it is "partial 16S ribosomal RNA". The record is from RNAcentral.
GGACUACCCGGGUUUCUAAUCCUGUUCGCUCCCCACGCUUUCGCUCCUCAGCGUCAGUAAUGGCCCAGAGAUCCGCCUUCGCCACCGGUGUUCCUCCUGAUAUCUGCGCAUUUCACCGCUACACCAGGAAUUCCGAUCUCCCCUACCACACUCUAGCUAGCCCGUAUCGAAUGCAGACCCGGGGUUAAGCCCCGGGCUUUCACACCCGACGUGACAAGCCGCCUACGAGCUCUUUACGCCCAAUAAUUCCGGACAACGCUUGCGCCCUACGUAUUACCGCGGCUGCUGGCAC